CGUAGGGUCCAAGCGUUAUCCGGAUUUAUUGGGCGUAAAGCGCAUGUAGGUGGUUUUGUAAGUCUUGUUUUAAAGCUCUGGGCUCAACCCAGAAUCUGGACGAGAUACUAUAAGACUAGUGGUCAGCAGGGGCAAACGGAAUUCCCGGUGUAGGAGUGAAAAUCCGUUGAUAUCGGGAGGAACACCAAUGGCGAAGGCAGUUUGCUAGGCUGAUUCAGACACUGAGAUGUGAAAGCGUGGGGAGCGAACGGGAUUAGAUACCCCGGUAAUCCACGCCGUAAACGAUGCAACACUGGGCAUUGGAAGUAUCGACCCUUCUUGUGCCGAAGCUAACGCGUUAAGUGUGCCGCCUGGGAAGUACGGUCGCAAGACUA
This 374-nucleotide ribosomal RNA is filed under the name uncultured organism. RNAcentral describes it as "bacterial SSU rRNA". It matches the Rfam family "Bacterial small subunit ribosomal RNA", at positions 526 to 896 of the family's 1533-position model. The record is from RNAcentral.